CAAGCGGUGGAGCAUGUGGUUUAAUUCGAUGCAACGCGAAGAACCUUACCUACUCUUGACAUCCAGAGAAUCUAGCGGAGACGCUGGAGUGCCUUCGGGAACUCUGAGACAGGUGCUGCAUGGCUGUCGUCAGCUCGUGUUGUGAAAUGUUGGGUUAAGUACCCGCAACGAGCGCAACCCUUAUCCUGUUGCCAGCGAGUAAUGUCGGGAACUCCAGGGAGACUGCCGGUGAUAAACCGGAGGAAGGUGGGGACGACGUCAAGUCAUCAUGGCCCUUACGAGUAGGGCUACACACGUGCUACAAUGGCGCAUACAGAGGGCGGCCAACUUGCGAAGUGAGCGAUCCCAAAAAGUGCGUCGUAGUCCGGAUUGGAGUCUGCAACUCGACUCCAUGAAGUCGGAAUCGCUAGUAAUCGUGGAUCAGAAUGCCACGGUGAAUACGUUCCCGGGCCUUGUACACACCGCCCGUCACACCAUGGGAGUGGGCUGCAAAAGAAGUGGGUAGUUUAACCUUCGGGAGGACGCUCACCACUUUGUGGUUCAUGACUGGGGUGAAGUCGUAACAAGGUAGCGCUAGGGGAACCUGGCGCUGGAUCACCUCCUUAUACGAUGAU
RNAcentral lists this ribosomal RNA (614 nucleotides) under Vibrio sp. 03_296. RNAcentral's name for it is "bacterial SSU rRNA". It matches the Rfam family "Bacterial small subunit ribosomal RNA", at positions 926 to 1533 of the family's 1533-position model. Lineage: Bacteria; Pseudomonadati; Pseudomonadota; Gammaproteobacteria; Vibrionales; Vibrionaceae. The record is from RNAcentral.